RNAcentral lists this long non-coding RNA (942 nucleotides) under Scleropages formosus (Asian bonytongue). Its description in RNAcentral is "lncRNA (ENSSFOG00015026930.1)". The record is from RNAcentral. Lineage: Eukaryota; Metazoa; Chordata; Actinopteri; Osteoglossiformes; Osteoglossidae.
CACUGCGACCUUGCACAGGAAAAGGGUUAUUAAAAUUGGAUGGACGAAUAUAUCUAAAAUCUCCAUUUCUGUUUCUUCAGUAGAGGACAACGUCGCAGUACAGUAUAUCGUCCUUGUGAAUGUCCCUUGAGUUCCCUGUUUCAUGGCCCUCUGUAGAGGAACUGUGAAAAGCUUCCCAGAGACCUUUGGCUGGAUGACGCCUCUUCGAGCCAUGCUGAUAUUAGCAAACUGUUUGGCCUUUGAACCUGGGUGCAAGAGACCCAUAAAAAGCAGAGCUCAGAUAACAACGGACGAGGGUGUGUUUCGCCAGCAGAUCGCCGAUCGAUCCAUUCAGAUCGAGCACGCGGGUCCGAUAAAUGCGAAAAAACAACUUUUGCGCUGUUCUCGCUUGCUUGUGUGCACACCUUUCCGGACACAGUCGGCAUCACUUGUCGUUUGUUUUGCAGUCACAGGGUUGGAGAGCAACAACUGCGAGUCGAACCCAGAGCUGCAAUGCAACUUCAUUUGCGACUGUUCAAACUGUACCGAUGAGCAAAUGUGUGGCUAUGAUGGACACACCUUUAUCUGCGACUUCGAGGACCUGGCGACCUGUGGCUGGAAGUCAUCGAACGCCUCCAUGUACAGGUGGGAGAGGCGCCAGCGGGGGCGCUCACUGCCAGACAGCGGGCCCUCGUCCGAUUUCACCACAGGCACCUCCACAGGUAUUGCGCUGACUGCACCGGCACCAGCACACACAUACGUACAGCUGUCAGCUUAACCUCUCUGUGAAACCCUAACCCGUCAAUCUUUUUACAAAAGGGAAAAAGCUGCAAAUGCAGAGAAUUAUUGGAACAUGUUGCAGUUUUUUUUUCCAAUCAUUGAAACAAGUGGGUGGGGGGAGCGAGGGCGCGGCGGGUUUGGCCGGGCCCCGCUCUCUGGCGGGUCUGGGGUUCGAGUCCCGCU